Long non-coding RNA from Alosa sapidissima (American shad), 494 nucleotides. RefSeq lists it as uncharacterized. Lineage: Eukaryota; Metazoa; Chordata; Actinopteri; Clupeiformes; Clupeidae. The transcript has 4 exons. The record is from RefSeq and is a predicted model, not a curated record.
AACAAGGCACAUCAAUCCACUGGUGCAAAAGAAGAGAACACCUCUGCCAUAGGAGAUUCAGCAGAAAAAGGCCAAACAGAUGGUCCAGGAGGUUCUGGAGAAGAGUUAAAUGGGAGAGGAAAUAAUGGAGGAGUAUAGUAGAGCACCUUGACACACUGUACAAGAAGGCAUCUUCUGAAUAUCCUGGUCCAUGGGAUACCAGUACGAAGUCAAGGAAAAAGAUAUGCACUCGGCAUUGUGACUGUUUCCUAAUCUCAGGGAUCCUUACUCCACCAAUGGCUAUGAACACUUCUACGAUGCUGGAAGAGGGACGGGCUAUCUGGCAUGGCGCCUAAAGCAACGAGUGUCGCAGCGUUUGGUCAAGAACAGCUCGGGAGCCUUGGAAUACAUGAACACCAUGAGCUUUUUAAGGAGGUAGACUUUCUAAUGAGGAGACACAGCACUCAAAAAAUCCUCCAUAGAAAUGCAUGGGGUUAGUUUGUAACGUAUGGUGU